UCCACCAUCUCCCAAGAUAUCUAGUUAGGCUGUCCACAUUAUCCAUUUAUCAAUUCACGUAACCUUUUAUUCUUUUUUUCCUCAGUCACCAUCAUCAAAUCACACAUAAACAUGCAAACCAAUAGUUUAUGCCAAACAAGACAGCACACAACAUCGGGUUCUCAGUCAUUCAACCCAUAAUUAAUAAAACAGUGAUAUAUGCACACGAAACUAUGAAAUGAAAACAUGAGAUAUCAUACUACAUUUAAUACUGGAAAUU
RNAcentral lists this long non-coding RNA (259 nucleotides) under Carica papaya (papaya). Its description in RNAcentral is "long non-coding RNA (CPAP_LNC014067)". Lineage: Eukaryota; Viridiplantae; Streptophyta; Magnoliopsida; Brassicales; Caricaceae. The record is from RNAcentral.